UACGGAGGGUGCGAGCGUUGUCCGGAAUCAUUGGGCGUAAAGCGCGCGUAGGCGGCCCGGUAAGUCCGCUGUGAAAGUCAAAGGCUCAACCUUUGAAUGUCAGCGGAUACUGCCGGGCUAGAGUCCGGAAGAGGCGAGUGGAACUCCUGGUGUAGCGGUGGAAUGCGCAGAUAUCAGGAAGAACACCAACGGCGAAGGCAGCUCGCUGGGACGGAACUGACGCUGAGGCGCGAAAGCGUGGGGAGCGAACAGG
This 253-nucleotide ribosomal RNA is filed under the name uncultured bacterium. RNAcentral's name for it is "partial 16S ribosomal RNA". It matches the Rfam family "Bacterial small subunit ribosomal RNA", at positions 524 to 776 of the family's 1533-position model. The record is from RNAcentral.